GGGCGCGCUCACGUCACGGGUUGACCGGGAAACCGGACCCAAGAGGGAAUUCGGUGCAAAACCGAAGCUGCGCCCGCAACUGUGACCGGGGAGCCCUUCCUCAACCAAGCCACUGGCGCCUCAGGGUGCUGGGAAGGCGGGGAAGGGCAGCGAUCCGGGAGCCAGGAGACCUGCCCGAAAAGACGGUCGUUCC
Molecule: non-coding RNA, 193 nt
Filed under: Novosphingobium sp. 9U
Lineage: Bacteria; Pseudomonadati; Pseudomonadota; Alphaproteobacteria; Sphingomonadales; Sphingomonadaceae
Source: RNAcentral